Long non-coding RNA from Prionailurus viverrinus (fishing cat), 934 nucleotides. RefSeq lists it as uncharacterized. The transcript is spliced from 3 exons. Lineage: Eukaryota; Metazoa; Chordata; Mammalia; Carnivora; Felidae. The record is from RefSeq and is a predicted model, not a curated record.
AUCCCCGGGGAAAGCACACACAAGGGCGACGCUCCCAGAUCUGGGGCAUCCGGGAGUGCUUCCUGGAGGAAGGGCCGCCCACCUGAGAUGCCAAGGAAGACGGGAGUGAGUCCCGUGGAGAGGACCAGGGGGGAGAUGGCAUGGGCAUGGAAAUAAAGAGGCAUGAGGCUGGAAAGGCGCGUGAGCCCGGUCAAGCAGAGCCUGGGAGGCUGUGGGAAUCAGCCUGGACAAGAGCCUGGGGCAGCAGGGAGCGCUGAAGGCGGGUACAGCAGUGGCUCCUGAAAUGUCCUGCCAUUGGUCCAACUGGCGAGCGAGCCCCAGACUCCAACCCAGGACUCGGAGAAUUGGACUCAAAGGGUUCUAGCUACAAAUCACUAGACCUUUGUGCUCUGGGCCGAGGCAGCCUUGCCUCCACGGUGGUAAGUGGGAGAAAGGCACAAAGGAAAAUCGGUCCCCAAUCUUGGAAGGCACUUGACCUUGAGGACCAGGGAACGGGCUGAACUGGACUCUAUUUUCGAUGGCCGUGUUUCUGAACACUUUCCUCCAAGUCCAACCUUUGUAACGGGCCCCACACGUAAGCGUGCGGAUCCAUGGAGCAUUAGGCACUCUACAAAAAUGCAGGAGGAGUCCAAGGGAUGAGACUUGCUUGGGGGGAUCUAAUCGCUCCCUGAGACGGGAAACAGUCUCCCCACCCAGCACAGAGAUGUUCAUCCCUGCCCACACUUCCGAUGGCUGCAGACCGCUGUUUCGUGGCUCAGUGCAGGCAGCUUUAUUGAGAGACAACGGACAUGUAAUGCUGCGUAAGCGUAAGGCAUACAAAGUGUCGACUGCAGAAACGGAUUGCAAUGUGACGACCACGGCCGUGUUAGCUAACACUUCUAUCCUGUCACGUGAUUCCCAGUUCUUUUUUUUUUUCCUGGUAAGACUAUUUCAA